Phalacrocorax carbo (great cormorant) is the source of this 5679-nucleotide non-coding RNA. NCBI's taxonomy places the organism in Eukaryota, Metazoa, Chordata, Aves, Suliformes, Phalacrocoracidae. The record is from RefSeq and is a predicted model, not a curated record.
CCCAGAGGGAGUAUGUUGUGUUUCCUCCUGUUCUUUAUCAAAGUCCCCAAAAAUAAGCAGGAAUGGGCAGUGACUAGGCACAGUCUCUACACACCUUUUUCCAUGGAGUAAUUAAGGCCUGCCUCAGAGUAAGAGAGCACUCCCUGCCCAGCUGUGCAAGGGAGAGCUGACAGCACCACUACCACCACCACCAAGCAUGAAGCUCCUCGGGAUUGCCUUCUUUCUUCUAGCUGUACCCUCUGUUUGCACUGUGGGAGUAACAGCAGCUGUGACCACAUCAGCUUCACAAUCAACAACACUGCAAGGGUCAGUGCUGAUGACAACUGCAAUCAGACCUACAAAUGAAUCCAUCACAAGCCACUCCACAUCGCCUGCACCUCAUACUACACAACAAAUAACACAAGGUACAACAACACAAACACCAGUAAAAGUGACCACUACAGCAGCAGAUAAAGAUGGCAUCACAACAAACACAGGGAAAGCUGUAUCACCACCAGGGAGUUCUACUGCUUCAGCAAUCGGCCCCAUUCGGACAGCUACACAAGCAAGUGGAACACAAUUGGCACAAAAUGAGAGUUUGGAUGCUUCAUCUACUACAGGAUGGUCGUCAUCGUCUUUUUCCACAACCUCUCUACAAAACACCACUUCUGCUCCUGGAACCUCAGACUUUCACGUGAGCACCCCGACAGAAACGACAACUUCUGGCAGUCCUGGGGAGAAUAAAGUGCCAGAGGAUGCUAUCCACUACUCUAGUGUUAUCUUGCCAAUUGUCAUCACCUUGAUAGUCAUUACCCUUUUUGUCUUCUUGCUGGUGGCUUUGUACAGGAUGUGCAAGAAGAAAACUCCAGAGAGACAAGAGAACGGCACUGAACAGGCUCAAACAGAUAAAGAAGGAGUCAAACUUCUUUCUGUGAAGACAACUUCUCCUGAGACUGACACUUAAAAUCCAGCUCAAUUAAAAGGUGAAUUAAUUGUCUGACCAUUUAGAAAGUGUGUGUUAUAGCUGCCUCUGACUGUACAUACCAACAAAACUGCAAAAGGUUUUGACUAGAAGUAGAAAGUUCUUAGGAGCAUCCUUAACUUUACAGAUGGUCCUACAUCAUCCUCUCACUAUCAAUAGACUGCUCGGCUGCCGAAGUUCAAACAUACAUACAAAAAAUUUCUGCUUUGACAUGUAUUCAAUUUAAGCUUAUUUAUAAGUAUACUUUAUGGAGUUUUUUAGUUUUUACUUUUAUUAUUCCAAACAGAAGAUUUUGAGAUUGUAUAAAUGUUUCAAGAAUGAGUAAAAAAAACAUAUAUACAAAGCAAGUAAGGAUAUGACCUACAAACUGUUCAAGCAGGCAACCUAGAAAAACCCUGUGUCAGUGUUGUACAUGAUAUAUCUUGAUCAAAUGUUAUGGUGAGUUUAAUCUUGCCUUAUUUUAUCUAUCUAAAAACUAAGCUGACUGCACAUAGUCAGUUGAAAGAGAUCUAUGUGUCCAGAGGGCUAUUUAUCCCAUCUGCCUUGGACACAUAUCUUGAACUGGAAUGAGCUGGCCUAUGGAGGUCCAUUGACUACUGAAGAAUCCUAUUUUAGGACUUCUAUAGCGAGGUUCUGCCUACAAAUUGAAAGAAAAAUGAAAGAUUCCUUUUUCAGAAGCAUAGCUGAAUCAGAUUUAAUCAAGAAUAUUAUUUCAAAUGCCCACAAUUAAUGUGGAAGAACACAGGAGAGCAGUCUUCAGUUAAGCCUGGACUAAAGUAACAUUUUUUAAUUGAGCAAUAUCAUCAGGAACACUAGGUAAAACUGAGCUUUAAUAAUCUUAGUUUUUAAAACUCUUCUUAGAAAGAUGGCAUUGCUGAUGGCUUAUGAGCUCUAAGGUACUACUAGUUGAGAAUUGAUGUAAAGUAAAAAAUCAAACAGACAAAACUAAACACUUCCAAUUUUUCGUCACAUUUGCCAGUUAACUGCAACACCUGAUGCAAGAUAAAUGCCUGUACGUGCUUCUUAUCUGAAAACUCAACUUGGAUAAAAACGCUCAUGAUAGUGAAUAGUUGCGAAAGUUUUACACUAAUGGGCAAAUAAAGGAUUUGCUACAGCCAUUCUGCGUUGACUAUACAGGCAAAUUGAGCGUGGCUCUUCCUAGGGAUAAUAAAUGGUAUUCUAUGAAUACUGAGCUCUAGAAAAUCUACCUGCAAAAAUAUUUCUGGUUUGGGAUUCAACAUAACCCAUAGAAUUGCAUGUUUGACUUGUCAGUGGUAGAUGUGUUUCCCAAGAAUGUAAGACAGAGGGUUUUAUUUGAUGACUAAGAGGUCAAUACCAUCAUCAUGAUAUUAAGGAUGAAGUAUUGCCUAUCUUGAAAACAUACUUAACUUGUACUGUAAGCGUUCUUGCAUAGUUCACUGAAAACCAGAAAAGGUAUUGAUUAUCUUUUAGGACUCAGGAAAAAUGUUGAGAGAUGGAAAUUCCUCAGUAACAGAAUGGUUGAGGAAUAGAAAUUGAGGUAAGGCUACUCCAUACAGAUGAAUGAUGCGUGACAGAAAUAUUGAUACCCAAGUAAUGACUUGACAAUUUUUUUUAUGGCCUUUGCCUGGAGUAUCCAUUCUAGAACUGGUAAAAUGUAUGAAGGGCCUUUAUAGUAGCAGCACACCAGUUUGCUAUUUAAUAUAAAGUCUUAUAGGAAUGUGGCAGGUGACAUAAUAUUUUAGAGUUGUUAAGUACAAUCCUGGCACCCUAGCAUAAGCUGAUUCUUUAGCACAUGUUUUCUAAUCAGUGUGUGCUCCAUUGAGAUGAUAGGGUAGGAUAUGGCUUACUCAGCUUCUAGGGGUAUUGUCUGUUCUGCGCUGAAUUUGCUGGAAGGAUAUUAAAUGCGUCAAAGCUAAUGCGGCUCAGACUUUGGUGGGCUACCUGGACUGGAAGGUGGCUGGAGAAGGGUCCAUGGUACACACCUGCAUUAAGGCUUCCCAAGACACCCACUGUGGACACAAACGAAAAUUAAAGGGUUGCUACUAAACAAAGCUGGGAAAAUGUACCAGGCAAACAUGGAUAUUUGAGGAGACACCUGACCUGUCACAUGUGAAACACCCUUAACUUACUGUAAUCAUGUUGGAGAAAUGGAUCAGUCAGUUCUAGAGGCACUCUCAGAUGGCAAUGCACUACAAAGUAGUAUGAACUGACGAUGUGGAACAACGAGCAUUCCCCAUAUGCUCCACAUUUCUUCCAAAAGCUGCUGUUGGUUAACAGUAGUAACAAACAGAGCUGUUGCCUGCUUCUUCAACUGGAUGCAUUUCCUGCCUGUAGAUUUUAAUAACAUUCCUUGGGUAUGUCCCUUGCACAAGUUGAGCCACCUACCUUGAAGAUAUGUGGGAUUUCAUGGCAUAAAUUAAUUAGACCCUAUAACUUCAAUCACUUUUGAGAUGACCCUAGUUUGUGCCUGAAGCAUUCUUCUGGAGUUCCUAAAUUUCCAAAGCUGCCUCUGUAAAGGCUUUGAGGAUUCCUAGCCUUCGAUGUCAGAGGCAGAUGACUGUACUAUACAUAGUGACAGAGCACCAAAAUCAUCACAGAACAAAGAAGAAUCCCUUGUUCUCAUUCAGCACAAAGACUUGCCUCGGUCUUUGGAACACACAUUAAGUUCAGCACCUGACAAGACAGUCCACUGUGGUGCUAAGGUUUGGACCUGGAAGAUCCUGUGGUCUUCUGAAAUGAUGUGGUUGAAUGACAAUAUCUUCAUCACUGGUUCCCAUGAAUCUCCAAGUGCUGAGACUGUUUAAUUGUUCUGCCUCUGUCUGUGGUGGAAUGGGACAAAUCUGGAGCUGGGGUAGAUUAUUCUUCCUUGGUUUUUCUUACGCUGAUCACAUCUGAGCAUGGACCGUGGCAUUUAAAGAGGAUCCAGGUGGAUGGCUCCGGGAGCAGGUGAAGAAGCGGGAUCUCUAGGAGAGCAUUCAUCUCAGGGGAAGAAUAAAACUCGGCAACUCUUCACACCUCAGCAAUAAAUAUAUGUGCAGCAGCCUGUUUUAUCACAAUAUGCAGGAACAUCUCACCAAAGUUGCAUUUCCACAGGAAAUGUGGAGCAGCUGAAGCUUUUUACCAGGCAGGACAUUUGCGUUAAUGACCAGCUCUUGACUUCUAAAUCUCAAGUGCCUCCUGUCCCUUCUGGAAUGACACGUAAUUUUUUGAUGGCUUAAUAACUGGUAUAUGAUAUGUAUUUAUUAUUUUGACAUAUAGUAAAAGCAGGAAGACUUUCAAGAAGGUUGAAGAGAAUGUAAAAAUCAGAUGAUGUUUGCAUAAUGGUUACUAAAAACGUUUUCUGCACAUACAGGAAGGAAUAUUUUAGCAUACUUUGCUGAACUUAUGGUGGAUAGGAUUCUUUUAAUUGUAUGUAGCAAAAUACAAACAGGGCCUGACCCUUGAAACAGUACUGGGCAAAUUGCCACUAUGAGAAUUAAUUCAGUAAUUUCCAUGACAUUUCUCACUGUAGCACACACUUCGCUUGUCAUAAAUGUUUACAGGAUGGGAUGCCUGCGUGAAAUGCUGAAGUGUGCGCUUUCUUCUGCAAAGGGGGGAAUAUACCUUGCACUGAGGCUCUUUGAAGUUCUGUAAAUUACUGAAUAUGAUCCUGGUAAUGUAGCAGCAACAUCGUUUAUUUUCACCUGUUCUUUGGCUAAUUGCGUUAUGGGUGCUAUAAAUAUGUCUCCUAUAUAGCCUGGGGUGUGCAGUGGGGAUUAGCAAGAUAAGCAAUUUUACAGAUGAACCUUCUUCCCUCUGUUCUGAGUAAUGCAUGGGAUUCCUGUGGGUUAUUGAAUAACUCUGGAAGUUUAAAGAGUGUUUCAAGUGCUAAUUACAGACUCUAUUAAUUUGUACAGAGCUGGCAAUUCAAAAAUAUCAAGUAGUGCUUCUACCUGCAUGUAUCCUACUUUUCUAGAACUAUAAAUGUUUGAAAAUUGUAUUACCGUGAGCAUCUGCUCAGUCUCAAUCCACUGACUCUGGUAGUGUGCCAAGAACUUCCAUUGUUUUAUUAGCGAAUUGAAAGAAGACAACUGGUAGUGUAAGUGCCGGACCAAGAGCCAGGAUGAUGAUCUAAGUUUUGAUACCUAUUGAUAUAAUGCUUUUGAGGACCUUCUCUCUCUGAUUUCCCUCUCUGAAAUAAUAAAACCUACCUAGCAGUAUGUUAAAAGAUUGAGCAGAUUUGUAAGUUCAUGUCUAUACAUGAAGCUGAAAAGGGUUCUUGUGCUUGACCGUUGCUCUUAUUUCCACUUUGAUGGGUCUAAUAAUCCUCUAUCUUAGCGGCCCCAAGAGAAACUUUUGAUGAAGCUCUGUAAAAGAUGGGGAACCAAAAAGUGUCCUCCAUGCUGCAGCUGAACUUAUGUGGUUCAUUCCUGGAUCUCUUGGGUUGCUCAGGAGCAGAGGAGUCUUGGAUGCCUACUUUGGAAAGGUCAGGCCAUCUAAAAUACACUAGUUGUCAUCUGCAACUAUUCACAUUCCCGAUUGCUGAAGUUUCCUAUGAAAAAUGCAAUUAUUGUGGAUUUUCAUGUUGAUUUAAAAGAAAACAAAAAAAAGUAUUUUGUGGCAUGUUGCAUCAUACUGAAAGGAAAAUAGAGAAAAGCAGAGGAAGAUUGUGCAAAAUUUGUUCAGAAACUACCACGUUGUGUCAAGAAAAAAAACCAACAAACUACUGCCUAUUAAAAGUUAUUCUCUUUAUUAAA